Molecule: non-coding RNA, 456 nt
Organism: Chlorocebus sabaeus (green monkey)
Lineage: Eukaryota; Metazoa; Chordata; Mammalia; Primates; Cercopithecidae
Source: RefSeq, a predicted model, not a curated record
ACAGUUCGAUGAACCUUGACAAACUUAAGUGAUGCAAUUGCCAUCAUAAUCAAGAUAUAUACAUACAGAAAAUUUCCAUCAUCUCAAAAGUUUCCUUCAAGUUCCUUUGUUGAUAAUCCCGUCUCCCUUCCCUAGAAACCACUGGGCACAUGAUCAUUAUCUGAGUCCUUGGGAGUCAGUUUAUGAAAUCUGAGUCACACUUGGACCAUUAUAAAAGCACAAGACAGGUAGGACUCUCUGCUGACGCACAGUCAAUACAUACUGACUGUUCACUCGGAUAAUAAAUGAGCUUUCUAUUUAGCUCUCUUCAGGACAUGGCAACAAACAGUGGGUUUUAAUGGCAUUCAUUUAUUUAUGUGUUCAUUCACUAAUUCAUUUAUAAAACUCACGUUGAGCAAUUACUACAUGCAUGUGUUUAUCUGUGGGUGAAAACCAAAAAAAAAAAAAAAAAAAAAA